This 189-nucleotide ribosomal RNA is filed under the name uncultured bacterium. RNAcentral describes it as "partial 16S ribosomal RNA". It matches the Rfam family "Bacterial small subunit ribosomal RNA", at positions 338 to 524 of the family's 1533-position model. The record is from RNAcentral.
CCUACGGGAGGCAGCAGUGAGGAAUAUUGGUCAAUGGGCGCAAGCCUGAACCAGCCAUGCCGCGUGCAGGAUGACGGUCCUAUGGAUUGUAAACUGCUUUUGUACAGGAAGAAACACUCCCUCGUGAGGGAGCUUGACGGUACUGUAAGAAUAAGGAUCGGCUAACUCCGUGCCAGCAGCCGCGGUAAU